AAGAUUGUAAUUGUUGGAACUUAUGAUAAAAAAUGGAGGAAAACUUGUUUCUAAAGUUUAGAGAGAAUUGAAUUGAAUAGGGAAGAAACUGAAAAUUCAUUGAUUUCGCCUUGUAAACAAACAAUUACAAUAGCCAUUAUAUAGGCCACAAACUAACAUAACAACCUACAGCUGUCAAACUAACUAACUAACAAAACUGUCAAAACAGUUAACCCUUGGAACCUGACCAACAAACACAAUUAAGAUUGAAAUACAACAACUAAUACACCUCCUUAUUACAAUCUUAAUUUGUAAAGUCCAUUCCUAACUUCAUCUUCAAUUCCUCUAAUGUGCUAGUCUUCAAAGCUUCCCAGUUUAUUGAGAUACACUAUGUUAUUCUUCCUUGAUAUGCCACCUUCCCAGUUCCAACUCUUUGAUUCAUCAAACUUCACAUCCUUGCUGAACAUAACCCUUUUUCCAAUCGGAUCAUACAAUUUGUAUGAACCAGUUGAGUGAUAACCAACCAUUAUCACAACAUGUGCCUUGUCAUCCAACUUCUUUCUUAACUGAUCCGGUAUGUGUCUGUAGCACAAUGAACCAAACACCCUCAGAUGCUUCACACAUGGUUUGAUCCCUGACCAAGCUUCUUCUGGUGUGACAUUAUCUAACCUCUUAGUUGGACACCUGUUUAACAAGUAAGCAGCAGUAGAAGUUGCUUCACCCCAUAGAUAGUGAGGCAAUCCCUUCUCCUUAAUCAUGCUUCUCACCAUAUUCACAAUGGUUCUAUUCUUUCUUUCUGCAGUACCAUUAUGUUGUGGUGUGUAAGGGGCAGUUAUCUCAUGUUUUAUGCCAUUUGAUGCACAAAAUGACUUAAACUCAUUUGAUGUAUACUCUCCACCACCAUCAGUUCUAAUCUUGCUAAUGACUUCACCACUUUCAUUUUGAACAAUUAUUCUGAACUUCUUAAACACAUCAAAUACUUCACUCUUUUUAGCUAUCAUGUAUAUCCAUAGUUUUCUAGUGAAUUCAUCUAUGAAUGAAACAAAAUAGCUAUUACCUCCCAUUGAUUUUUCUUCAAAAGGACCACAAACAUCUGAGUGAAUUGCUUCUAAUCUUCUUGUAGCUCUACUAGGUAUCUCAGUGUUGUAAGAAUUCCUUGACUGCUUAGAUAUGCAACACUUGUCACACACUUGAUCUGAGACCUUGAUUUGAGGCAAGCCAUUCACCAUAUUCUUUCUCUGCAGUAUGCUCAAAUCUUUGAAAUUCAAGUGUCCAUAUCUUUGGUGCCAUAUCCAAUCCUCAUUACUAGCAGUGGCUAAGAGACAAUUGCCAUCAAUCACAUUUAACCCAAUUUUGAAUGUCCUUUGCUUUGUCAUUGGAGCUUUCAAAAUCAGUCUUGCUAUCAAAAACUCUUAAGACUUUGUCUUCCAUCUUUACAACAUAAUUCUUUUCUAACAGUUGACCAAUGCUUAUGAGAUUACUCUUCAUUGUUGGAACAUAGAGAACAUCAGAAAUUAGUGCAUCCUUUCCAUCUUUACUUCGUAUUUUGAUUUUCCCUAUGCCUUCAGCUCUAACACUACUAUCAUCUGCAAACCUUAUUCUUCUGUUUACAGUCUCAUCUAGUUCAUAGAACCAAGUCCUCUUCCCACUCAUGUGGUUUGAGCAACCUAUGUCUAAAUACCAUUUGUCAUCAUCUUCUUCUUCUUUGAUGACAGCCAUAAGCAUUGAACUUUCAGGAUCUUCUUCUUGUUUGUCAUAGACAAACUUGGCUUCAUCAGUUUUCUCUCUUGGAACUUUCUUUGAUUUGCACUCAGCUGCAAAAUGACCCCACUUCUGACAAUUAUAGCAUUGUAUCUCUUUCUUGUUGAAUUUCUUCUUCUGACCAUUGGUAUUUUCUUGUUGAUUGGAAUCUUGAUUCUUACCAUUGCCUUCAUUUGAAUUCUUUGAAUUCUGGUUCUUUCCCUUCUUGUUAUACUGAGCUUGCAGAGCUUGAUCAUUUGAAUCUUCACUUUGUUUACCAUUGUUCUUGCUUCUUUCAGUCAAUCUCAAUUCAUGGGCUUCAAGUGAAGCUUGAAGUUCCUCAAACUUCAAUUCUUCAAGAUUCUUGGAUUCUUCUUUAGCGACAACAAUAUGAUCAAACUUUGGAGUUAGUGUUCUCAACACCUUCUCAAUCUUCAUCAAAUCAGUUAUGGUUUCACCAUUUCUAACCAUUUGAUUUGUCAAGCUAGUUAACCUCACAAAAUACUGACUCACAGUUUCAGAUUCAUUCAUUUGCAGCAAUUCAUAUUGUCUUCUUAGGGAUUGUAAUCUAGCCUUUUUCAAUUUCUCAUCACCUCCAUAGUUUCUUGCCAACGUAUCCCAUGCUUCUUUUGCACUUUCACAAUGCAAAAUCUUCUCAAAGAUGUCUGCAUCCAGACAUUGAUGAAUGAUAAACAGGGCUUCACCAUCUUUCUUCUUCGAUUCUUUAUGCACAGCGUUUUGUUCAUCGUUUGUGUUUCUUGGCAAUGCAGCAACUCCAUCAUUCACAAUUUCAACCACAUCUUGUAAUCUGAAUAUCACUUUCAUCUUCGCGAUCCAUUGAUCAUAGUUCUUGCCAUCAAAUAUUGGUAGGUGUGCUGGAAAACCAUUAUUUGAUGAUGUUGCCAUCUUUCACAGAUUCUACAACAAUCUUUCUUCAAUCUUGAACCAAAGAACCAGGCUCUUGAUGCCAAUUCUGUUGGAAUGUAUGAUCAAAAAUGGAGGAAACCUUGUUUCUAAAGUUUAGAGAGAAUUGAAUUGAAUAGGGAAGAAACAGAAAAUUUAUUGAUUUCACCCUGUAAACAAACAAUUACAAUAGCCAUUAUAUAGGCCACAAACUAACAUAACAACCUAAAGCUGUCAAACUAACUAACUAACUAACAAAACUGUCAAAACAGUUAACCCUUGGAACCUGACCAACAAACACAAUUAAGAUUGAAAUACAACAACUAAUAGUAAUGAGACAGAGAAAGUACGUAGUAUUUUAUUUUGGAUUAACAUGUUUGUGUAAACUAUAUGGGUAUUUAAACCCUCAUCUAUAGGUAUCCUUUUGUUGUGACAAGUGUGUGGUAAGUUAAGUCCCGCAUUGCUUGGAAAAGUGGAGGGUUGAACACUUUAUAAGUGAGAGGACUCAUAAACUUAAUGCCUUAAGGUUUUGGGUAAAGAUGUGGUGUCCAACUCACUUGUAUGGUUGCUCUUGGACCAAUGUGGAUGAUCCCCUGACUGCCCCCUCAUGACCCAACACUUUUGGGCAGGCCAUUUAUUAAUUGAAUAUAGUUGUGAAGUGUCUUAGGUGUGACUGCCAUGCAUUUAAUCUAUGCUAGUUGCUAGAUCAUUUUGAAGAUGUUUCUAAUCCCAG
RNAcentral lists this long non-coding RNA (3355 nucleotides) under Trifolium pratense (red clover). RNAcentral's name for it is "long non-coding RNA (TPRA_LNC002806)". The record is from RNAcentral. Lineage: Eukaryota; Viridiplantae; Streptophyta; Magnoliopsida; Fabales; Fabaceae.